Molecule: long non-coding RNA, 1327 nt
Filed under: Gallus gallus (chicken)
Lineage: Eukaryota; Metazoa; Chordata; Aves; Galliformes; Phasianidae
Source: RNAcentral
GUGUGUGUGUGUGUGUGUGUGUGUGUGCGCCCCCCAUCCCCUGCGGAAGGGAGGAGGAAGGCAGAGGGAGAAACAUUUGGUCCCAGAGCCCCCGACGUCCCUCGCAGACAGAACCCUCAGUCCCGACAGAGCGAGAACAAAAAGCUACAUUGGCGAGAGAAACCAGAGGCGGCUGCAGAAACACAAAGAAACCGAGACGUCGGGACGCGGCUCCGGCAGAGGUAAGGGAUGCUGGGGGAGAGAGACGCGCGCGCACCGGGGCCACGUGGUGGUGGUGAUGGAGGGGGGGGGGGGGGGGGGUGUUUGGCCCCACCCCCCCCUCAGAUGGCCUCCACGUAGUUGGCUGGCAGCAUUCCUGUUUUCCCAGUUCUCUGAACAGUACCAUACAUCCAGCCAUCAUCAAUUGGUUGCACGUUGAUGAUGGUGUCACCAUCCUUGAAGGAAACCUCGUCCUCAUCGGCCGCGUUGUAAUCAUAGACGGCACGGAAACGCUUCCCUGCUGCGGACGGUGCACUGCGCUGCGUGGAGGCGGGCGCUGCGGGCUCCUUGUAGCCAUAGGACUGCGAGGCCGGCGGCUGCUGUUGGUACACCGGGUUGCUGGGCUGGACGUGGUGCUGUGGUUGGUGCUGCUCCGGCCGUCGGUAAUUGGCGCUUUCCUGGGAGUUCCUGCGCUCCAUCUCUGCGCCCUCGCUGGGGCUGGGGCCCAUCCUGCUCCUCUCAAACUCUUCAUGGUAUUUGAUGUUGCUGAUCUGAUCCUGAGUCUUUUUGAUUCUCUGCAGCUCCGGGGUGUCGGCCACCACGCUGAAGCCUUUCCCCUUGUUCUUCUCAAACUCCUCCUUGUAGCGAAUCUGGCUCUGCAGCUCGCUCUGCUGCUUUAGGCGCAGGUUCUCGGGAGUGUCUGCCACCAUGGUGAAGGAUUGCUUCGGGUAGUGUGCAUUGCAGUAGGGCUUCUUCUCGUAGCCCUUGUAGUUCUUCAUGUUGAGGGUCAUCUUGCAGGUCUCGCAGUGGAAGCAUGCUUUGUGCCAGAACUUAUCCAGGCAGUUCACCUUCUCGGUGGGAUAUACGAUCUUCCCGCAACGCGCGCAGUUGGGGUUCAUGGCCGCCCCGCUCCCCCCGCCGCCACCGCCGCGUCCGCCUCUGGGCCGCCGCCCGCGCGCCGCGCCCCUAAAUACGGGGGGGGGGGGGAGGGAGGGGGGGCGGCGGGGGCGCGCGGGGCGGGGCGGCGGCGCGCGCCCACCCACGCGCAUCGCCCCGCCGCCCUCACGCGCGCUCCCGCACUCCUUUGCACGCGCGCUGUGCCGUCCCCCUCAGUGCGCGCAAAUCGCUG